This 467-nucleotide ribosomal RNA is filed under the name uncultured bacterium. Its description in RNAcentral is "partial 16S ribosomal RNA". It matches the Rfam family "Bacterial small subunit ribosomal RNA", at positions 28 to 507 of the family's 1533-position model. The record is from RNAcentral.
GGCGAACGCUGGCGGCGUGCUUAACACAUGCAAGUCGAACGGAAAGGCCCUGCUUUUGUGGGGUGCUCGAGUGGCGAACGGGUGAGUAACACGUGAGUAACCUGCCCUUGACUUUGGGAUAACUUCAGGAAACUGGGGCUAAUACCGGAUAGGAGCUCCUGCUGCAUGGUGGGGGUUGGAAAGUUUCGGCGGUUGGGGAUGGACUCGCGGCUUAUCAGCUUGUUGGUGGGGUAGUGGCUACCAAGGCUUUGACGGGUAGCCGGCCUGGGAGGGUGACCGGCCACAUUGGGACUGAGAUACGGCCCAGACUCCUACGGGAGGCAGCAGUGGGGAAUAUUGCACAAUGGGCGGAAGCCUGAUGCAGCAACGCCGCGUGCGGGAUGACGGCCUUCGGGUUGUAAACCGCUUUCGCCUGUGACGAAGCGUGAGUGACGGUAAUGGGUAAAGAAGCACCGGCUAACUACGUG